GAUGAACGCUGGCGGCGUGCCUAAUACAUGCAAGUCGAGCGAACAGACGAGGAGCUUGCUCCUCUGACGUUUGCGGCGGACGGGUGAGUAACACGUCGAUAACCUACCUAUAAGACUGGGAUAACUUCGGGAAACCGGAGCUAAUACCGGAUAAUAUAUUGAACCGCAUGGUUCAAUAGUGAAAGACGGUUUUGCUGUCACUUAUAGAUGGAUCCGCGCCGCAUUAGCUAGUUGGUAAGGUAACGGCUUACCAAGGCAACGAUGCGUAGCCGACCUGAGAGGAUGAUCAGCCACACUGGAACUGAGACGAGGACCAGACCACUACGGGAGGCAGCAGUAGGGAAUCUUCCGCAAAGGGCGAAAGCCUGACGGAGCAACGCCGCGUGAGUGAUGAAGGUCUUCGGAUCCUAAAACUCUGUUAUUAGGGAAGAACAAAUGUGUAAGUAACUAGGCACGUCUUGACGGUACCUACUCAGAAAGCCACGGCUAACUACGUG
This 497-nucleotide ribosomal RNA is filed under the name uncultured bacterium. RNAcentral's name for it is "partial 16S ribosomal RNA". It matches the Rfam family "Bacterial small subunit ribosomal RNA", at positions 28 to 507 of the family's 1533-position model. The record is from RNAcentral.